AUGAACGCUGGCGGCGUGCCUAAUACAUGCAAGUCGAACGGAGAUUGUAGCAAUACAUUCUUAGUGGCGAACGGGUGAGUAACGCGUUGGUGACCUGCCCCAAAGUGAGGGAUAACAGCCCGAAAGGGUUGCUAAUACCUCCUGUGGUCUUAGAGAUCAGAUGCUCUUAGACUAAAGGAUUUAUUCGCUUCGGGAGGGGCCUGCGUCCCAUCAGCUAGUUGGUAGGGUAAUGGCCUACCAAGGCUUUGACGGGUAGGGGACCUGAGAGGGUGGCCCCCCACAAUGGAACUGAAACACGGUCCAUACACCUACGGGUGGCAGCAGUAGGGAAUAUUAGUAAUGGGCGAAAGCCUGAACUAGCAACACCGCGUGUGCGAUGAAGGCCUUCGGGUUGUAAAGCACUUUUCGGGAGGAUGAGGAAGGACGGUACUCCCGGAAUAAGUCUCGGCUAACUACGU
This 458-nucleotide ribosomal RNA is filed under the name uncultured bacterium. Its description in RNAcentral is "bacterial SSU rRNA". It matches the Rfam family "Bacterial small subunit ribosomal RNA", at positions 29 to 506 of the family's 1533-position model. The record is from RNAcentral.